RNAcentral lists this ribosomal RNA (345 nucleotides) under uncultured bacterium. RNAcentral's name for it is "bacterial SSU rRNA". It matches the Rfam family "Bacterial small subunit ribosomal RNA", at positions 28 to 334 of the family's 1533-position model. The record is from RNAcentral.
GAUGAACGCCGGCGGUGUGCCUAAUACAUGCAAGUCGUACGCACUGGCCCAACUGAUUGAUGGUGCUUGCACCUGAUUGACGAUGGAUCACCAGUGAGUGGCGGACGGGUGAGUAACACGUAGGUAACCUGCCCCGGAGCGGGGGAUAACAUUUGGAAACAGAUGCUAAUACCGCAUAACAACAAAAGCCGCAUGGUUUUGUUUGUAAAGAAUGGCUUUGGCUAUCACUCUGGGAUGGACCUGCGGUGCAUUAGCUAGUUGGUAAGGUAAACGGCUUACCAAGGCAAUGAUGCAUAGCCGAGUUGAGAGACUGAUCGGUCACAAUGGAACUGAGACACGGUCCAU